This 444-nucleotide ribosomal RNA is filed under the name uncultured bacterium. Its description in RNAcentral is "partial 16S ribosomal RNA". It matches the Rfam family "Bacterial small subunit ribosomal RNA", at positions 331 to 792 of the family's 1533-position model. The record is from RNAcentral.
CCAGACUCCUACGGGAGGCAGCAGUGGGGAAUAUUGCACAAUGGGGGAAACCCUGAUGCAGCGACGCCGCGUGAGUGAGGAAGUAUUUCGGUAUGUAAAGCUCUAUCAGCAGGGAAGAAAAUGACGGUACCUGACUAAGAAGCCCCGGCUAACUACGUGCCAGCAGCCGCGGUAAUACGUAGGGGGCAAGCGUUAUCCGGAUUUACUGGGUGUAAAGGGAGCGUAGGCGGCUGUGUAAGCCAGAAGUGAAAGCCCGGGGCUCAACUCCGGGACUGCUUUUGGAACUGCGCGGCUGGAGUGCAGGAGGGGCAGGCGGAAUUCCUGGUGUAGCGGUGAAAUGCGUAGAUAUCAGGAGGAACACCGGUGGCGAAGGCGGCCUGCUGGACUGCGACUGACGUUGAGGCCCGAAAGCGUGGGGAGCAAACAGGAUUAGAUACCCUGGUA